This 393-nucleotide ribosomal RNA is filed under the name Triticum aestivum (bread wheat). RNAcentral describes it as "partial small subunit ribosomal RNA". Lineage: Eukaryota; Viridiplantae; Streptophyta; Magnoliopsida; Poales; Poaceae. The record is from RNAcentral.
AUGGCUUCCCAGCUCUCCGCCAUGACCUCCGUGCCGCAGUUCCACGGCCUCAGGAGCUACUCCUCGCCCAGGUCCAUGGCGACGCUGCCGUCCUUGAGGAAGAGGUCCCAGGGCAUCCGCUGCGACUACAUCGGCUCCUCCACCAAUAUCAUCAUGGUGACCACGACGACCCUGAUGCUGUUCGCCGGGCGGUUCGGGCUGGCGCCGUCGGCGAACAGGAAGGCGACGGCGGGGCUCAAGCUGGAGGCGCGCGAGUCCGGGCUGCAGACGGGCGACCCGGCCGGCUUCACUCUCGCCGACACGCUCGCAUGCGGCUCCUUCGGCCACAUCUUGGGCGUCGGCAUCGUGCUCGGCCUCAAGAACACCGGCGUCCUCGACCAGAUCAUCGGCUAG